GGGGUUGGGAGUCAGACCAAGGACAAGGUUUACGAUGGAGCCGAAGAAGCCACCCGCGGUGGCUCCAAUGUCAAAAACAGAUUCGAGGAGCAUGAACAAGGAGCUGACUACCGCGGGAGGGGAGAUUGAGAUGUUUAAUAAUUAGUUUCAUAUAUACUCGGAGAUCUGAGAUUUUGAAUAAGUUGAUGAAGUAUGUGCAAUUCAUCAAAGAUGUAAAAUUCUUCUCCGUUUAGUUUCUUGUUUUGAUGCUGAGUUUUGGUAUGAUCAAGUUGAUGACAUUGGGAUAUAAUUACAGUUCUAUAAUAUUUAUGUGGGUUCAUAAAAUUCAUUCAUAUUGGCUUUAUAAUAUAUCUGUGAUUGCAUCAUAAAAAUUGUUGCAAAGAAAUAACCGAAGCUGCACGAAUGUAAUUUACGAACAAGCAUUUUAUUAUCAGAGUAAUUUAUGACAAAUUUCUAAAACAUGCCAUGCUGUCUAUAUCAUCAUCCGGAUUCCUGAUCAAAUAUGGAAAAGGAUGAGAACCAAAAAAUGGAAUAAAAUAUGUACGUACACAUUUGACUCCAGCACAAAUCACAACUAGCACGGGCCUAUUAAAAAGUCCUGAAAAUAUUUGCUCCGUGUCGGUGGUGCUUGAAUAAAUUAUAUUUCCCUUCGUAAGAACCUGGGCCUAAUUAACUCAGCAGUAGAGCGGAAAGAGCCCGAUAUGAACGGCAAUGAGUUGGUCUAUUUCCACCUCUCAAAAUUCUUCAUAAAACUCCUUUCUUAUUAAAAUUACAUAAAACACCUGAAAAUUAAUUAAUUAAUUAUUUUUUAUUUUAAAUAAAAAUUUAAUUAAUAUAUUCUUUCAACAAAAUUUCUACACCUAUUCUAUUUCAUGAUUUUUUAUUGAUGUUUUAAAAUUAUAGCUAAAAAAAUAUUUUUUAAAGAAUAUUAUAAGAAUUUUGAGUUAUGGAAAUAUAAGUAAUAUAAAUAUAUAUAUAUAUAUAUAUAUAUAUAUGUAUUUUAUAAUAAAUAAUUAAAAAAAUUUAAGGUGAAAUUUGGUAAAAAUAUGGUUACUUUUUUUUAUAAAUAUAUUUGAUAAAUUAAACUGAGAUUUUUUGGAAAAUAAAAGUUAUAAGGAUUUUAUAGGGUGUUAAAAUUCCGCCCAAUGGGAGUACAUGCUUGAGCCCAACAAAGGCCCACUAAAAACAUACAGCAGUCAACAAACAAAACCUGGCUUGGCUUCUUCUCCUACUCCUGCUUCGUUUCUUCUCAAUUUUUCUCACUUAUCUAACAGACCGCUAUCAAUUAGCGGCCGCCGCAGCAAGCCGCUGGUAGCAGUCACUUGGUUGCCCAAAUUGUCGGUUUUCUCGCUCUUCGCAGUAAAGUUUUUUAUUUGAAAUUAAAAUUUACUCUCUGAACGUUAUUAUCAUUUUGAAUUUUUAUCGGCUUAGUACCAUUAAUUGUAUCGCUAUCAUUACUGAAAAUAUCGAAGAGCAGAGAAAAACAUUUGCUUUUAUAUCUGAUUGAAAGCUUCAAUUUGUGGUGACAAUUCUUUUUCUUACUAUAUGUGAUGUAGGGGACCUGCGUUUUGAUUUUGUUUUCAAUUGGAACUUACUAUUAUGAGCUCCAUGUUCGCAGUAGUUUAAAAACUUUUCGACAAAGGCUUCGAAACUCAGUUCUCGGUCACUGUAAGUUUUCAACUCUCUCAAUAUACUGAUGCGCAAAUAAUUGGGUUUCCAUCUCGAACUUUACACGUAUGUUUGAUUUACCUUUUGAAUCUCAUGAUGGCCAUUUUAUUCUCUACAGAAUUUUUGUUUUCUGAAAGCUUGAGUAUGAAUGUACGGAGUACGAAUCAACCCUUGAUUUGUUUUUCACCCAGAAUAAUUAUUAUUAUUAUUUUUUUUUUUUUGAGUUACUAGCAGAUAAAGGGGUCUUUGUCUCUGAAAUUUGAAUAUUUUUUAUAGAUGGGCUAGUGAAUUUUGGUUAUUACUAAUGUGUUUGAUGAAAUACCUGUGAGAAAUUAGUCUUAUCAUGUAACACAUCUACAAUCUGUUUGGCCAGGAAGAUGUUUACAGGGAGGGAAAUAGUGUGGAAUUUUAUAAUUUUUGAGACCCGGUAAUAGCAUGAACUUUUCUAUGUUCUUAACUGAGGACUAUUGCUGGAACCUACAGCAUAGGAUUGGAAAUUUUUAUUGCAAAAUUGAGUAUGAAGAUUGAAUUAAUUAGAAAACUCUUUACAUUGGACUUUAGGAUUUAGAGGCAUGCUAGUGAGUAGAUGUUUCCAAUUUCAAUGUUUUGAAAUUUUAGAGAAGAAUUUGUGAGCAAAUAGACCAGAUGCCAAUACUAAUAUGUUGGAAAGUUCUUGUAUUAAUGUGUCACUAUAAAAUCAUCUGCCAUGUAUAUACUCUUGAUAGGCCAGUUUGGAUAUCUUCUGUAUUAACCUCAAGAUUGAUUUAUGCAUUAAAAAUAGAUUAGAUAUCAUAGGUUUUGGAUGUAUUCCAUUGUUUUGUUAUGAGAAUUGAGGUUUACCUGUUGGCUGAAUGUCUACAUUGACAAUUGUUGACUGUAGCUAUCUACUUUGGAUAAGCAAAGGUAAACCUAAUUUUCAUAAAAUCCACGCGCGUCAGUUAGAAUGAGACUGGAUGGAACAAACAUUUCAUGAAGCAUCUUAAAAUUAUUCACCAAGAAAUAAACAUAAUAUUUUCUUGAUGCAUCUUAGUAGUUAUUUAUUUUUCUGCUACAUGCUUACAUGUGCCGCCACAGAUCACGUGGAAACACUUACUCGAAAUCUCACUUAUCAGAUUCCGUUGUGGAAGACACCAUUUUUUCUGAAGAAUUGGCCUCUAUCUGAUCCAUUCAUAAUAUCAUGAAAAAUGGAUACAAAUUUUUGACUGCUACUUAGUACCAGUAAUAGGUCUCAAAAAGUAUUUAAAAAUACCAAAUUUAGAUAUUUGUACCUUGUCGAAGUAAGGAACCAUGGCAUAUAUGUUUGGAAUCGAUUCCAUUUUGAGAGAGUUGAAAAAGCACUGUCUUGUUGAAAGGUUCUAGACAUCUGCCUUUCUUAACGCAUUUCUUUAGGCAAAGAGUCAAAGACUCCAUGUUUCCUCUUUCUCUUUUCAGAUGGUAAAUAUUUCUUAGAAUGUGGAGUGUGAAUCAAACCCAUAUUUGAAUUGAAAUUGAGAUACUGACGCAAGUUCUUCUCGUCUGAAUUAGAUCGAUUCAUAUCCGAAAGAAGUUGACAAUGAAAUAUUUAGUGCUUUCAGCCGAAUGUGAACUGAAACAUUUAUCCAAUCCAAUUCUAUGGGUUAUUGAGUACCUCUGAUAUGAGCCUAUGUCUUGUGUAGUUCCUAUUGUUUUUGCCCCUUAUUGAGAAAGUGCUAUAGCAUUUCAAAAGAAAAACCUCCAGCUGUGCCAUUUAACAUCAAUAGACUCCCUUCACACUGUUUUCUUCUUUAACAUGGUUCACAUUUAAUGUGUUUCAGCAGUUUUUAAUUUAUUUUUUAGCAAUAUAUUUAAAUAAAUAACAUUGUGUUUAUUUAUCUAAUAAUUGAUCACUGCAUAUACAUUGGUAAAACAAUUAUCCUCAUUCCAUUGUUGUUUAGAUACAAAACUUUUUUAAAAUCUGAAUUUCUGUUUAAAGUUCUUUUCAUAAGCUUCUUUCUAAUUUGCAGAUUUGGAGAAAAUGAAGAAAGGACUGCACCCUCAGAUGCAAUGGAUAUCCUAUGUGACUCAGAGUGGCAGACUGAUGCAUGUUAUGAUGACAAAAAUACACAAUGUUGGCAAAGUUUACCAUUUUAGGGCCAGGCGCCAAAUGGCUCAGAGUAUUGGACAAGUUGCCAAGUUCAGGCGACGUUAUGAACAGCAGGAGGAUGCAGAAAACAAUGAAAAAUGAGGCAUCUAGAACACAUAGAGAAGUCAGUUAUGUGUUGCUGGAUUUGAAUUCCUUUUAAGAAAUAAGCAUGAACAUUGUGCUCUAAAUUCUGAAGCAAAGUUUGUUUUUCUACUCCCUUAAGGCUUCAAUAUUAAGUACACAUUUCCAUUUUGAUGAUUCGGGUGAUGUCAACGAUAGAAACGGUGUCGUUUUGGGGCUAGUAACAUUCGUCUCGCGAAGCUGUGCUUCAAGAGCCGAGAUCCGGCUCUCAAUAUCACUCUUAGCAGCCUUUAAGGUUUCAAUUUCGCCGAGGACUCUUGCCACGUCAGCAUUACCUCCGUUUGUCACCAUAUUCUAAACAACCGGAGACGUCCAGCGAAGACUGUGAAGUGGAGUAAGAGGGAAAGCGGCAAUUAGAGGAACCCUAAUCAUACCGAAAAGUGACAAAUUCGAAGAAUGAUACCGUUGAACUGGAAACAUGAAAAAAAUAACCUUAACACCUCCUAAUUUCAGACUCCUAACGCAAGAUGGGGGGAAAAAUAGAAAGACGAAAUUACCCUUGAAGGAGAUUCCAGACGUGUGCGAUGUAAUUGCUCUCACAAAUCACAACCCGCCAGGGUUGAUCCCCAUGUUUCCGAACGAAAAUGAAAUGGCAAAUGCAUAAACAGCCACGUGUCUGUUCACUCUCGGACUGAUAUGAACUGCGCGGGUCCCUAUGAAAUAUCCAUAAUCCAUCCAAAGUCUCAUCCUUUUCUUUGGGCAAAGUUAAACCAUCCAUCCGAUCAGUCGCAAGGGGCGUACUCACAAAUCCAAUACUAACAAUAAACGAUGUCGUUAGUGUCGCAAAUGAGAGGCUUGAUCUUCCUUUACUUCAAAUCUUCACGACCGUCUUCUAGCAAGCCUUUGACGGCAUAUCUCUACAAGCCCUUCAAGGUACGCACACACGCAUGGAACAUAAAUGAUCGCAGUUGAUUAGUUAACUAUCAGAUUAAUUUUUGAUCUUAUUGUUUUUUUUUUGGGGUUCGUGUCUAUUACGUUAUUUUGACAUAAUUAAAUAAAUGAAUAUUGUGUCAUAUCAGAGGUACGGUAGCGAAGGAGCAAGCAAUAAAGAUCAAAAUAUAAGUAGUCUUCAUCCUGAGAGGCAUGGGAGAGCGCCGUCAAUAGCUGAAGAGUUCGAGAGAGUUGCAGAGGAAAAGCUUCGAGCUGCGGGUCAAGGGGUUGGGAGUCAGACGAAGGACAAGGUUUACGAUGGAGCCGAAGAAGCCACCCGCGGUGGCUCCAAUGUUGAUUCUGUCAAAAACAGAUUCGAGGAGCAUGAACAAGGAGCUGAUUACCGCGGGAGGGGAGAUUGAGAUGUUUAAUAAUUAGUUUCAGAUUCUGUGAUUUUGAAUAAGUUGAUGGAGUAUGUGCAAGUCAUCAAAAACGUAAAAUUCUUCUCUAUUUCGUUUCUUGUUUUGAUGCUGAGUUUUGGUAUGAUCAAGUUGAUGACAUUGGGAUAAAAUUACGGUUUUGUAAUAUUUUUGUGGGUUCAUUAAUUCAUAUUGGCUUUAUAAUAUAUCUGUGAUUGCAUCUUAAAAAUUGUUGCAAAGAAAUAACUGAAG
Molecule: long non-coding RNA, 5451 nt
Filed under: Citrus maxima (pomelo)
Lineage: Eukaryota; Viridiplantae; Streptophyta; Magnoliopsida; Sapindales; Rutaceae
Description: long non-coding RNA (CMAX_LNC001881)
Source: RNAcentral